This 301-nucleotide ribosomal RNA is filed under the name uncultured bacterium. Its description in RNAcentral is "partial 16S ribosomal RNA". It matches the Rfam family "Bacterial small subunit ribosomal RNA", at positions 509 to 807 of the family's 1533-position model. The record is from RNAcentral.
CAGUAGCCGCGGGAAUACGAAGGGGGUUAGCGUUGCUCGGAAUGACUGGGCGUAAAGGGCGCGUAGGCGGCUUGUAUAGUCAGAUGUGAAAUUCCUGGGCUCAACCUGGGGACUGCAUUUGAUACGUGCAGGCUUGAGUGUGGAAGAGGGUCGUGGAAUUCCCAGUGUAGAGGUGAAAUUCGUAGAUAUUGGGAAGAACACCAGUGGCGAAGGCGGCUCACUGGACGCAUAUUGACGCUGAGGUGCGGAAGCGUGGGGAGCAAACAGGAUUAGAUACCCCCGUAGUCCCUGUCUCUUAUAC